AGUGAACGCUGGCGGUAGGCCUAACACAUGCAAGUCGAACGGCAGCACAGUAAGAGCUUGCUCUUACGGGUGGCGAGUGGCGGACGGGUGAGGAAUACAUCGGAAUCUACUUUUUCGUGGGGGAUAACGUAGGGAAACUUACGCUAAUACCGCAUACGACCUACGGGUGAAAUCAGGGGAUCUUCGGACCUUGCGCGAUUGAAUGAGCCGAUGUCGGAUUAGCUAGUUGGCGGGGUAAAGGCCCACCAAGGGGACGAUCCGUAGCUGGUCUGAGAGGAUGAUCAGCCACACUGGAACUGAGACACGGUCCAGACUCCUACGGGAGGCAGCAGUGGGGAAUAUUGGACAAUGGGCGCAAGCCUGAUCCAGCCAUACCGCGUGGGUGAAGAAGGCCUUCGGGUUGUAAAGCCCUUUUGUUGGGAAAGAAAAGCAGCAGGUUAAUACCCCGCUGUUCUGACGGUACCCAAAGAAUGAGCACCGGCUAACUUCGUG
This 492-nucleotide ribosomal RNA is filed under the name uncultured bacterium. RNAcentral describes it as "partial 16S ribosomal RNA". It matches the Rfam family "Bacterial small subunit ribosomal RNA", at positions 29 to 507 of the family's 1533-position model. The record is from RNAcentral.